Granulicella mallensis MP5ACTX8 is the source of this 187-nucleotide non-coding RNA. It matches the Rfam family "6S / SsrS RNA". From Rfam's summary of the family: E. coli 6S RNA was the first non coding RNA to be sequenced, but its function was unknown until recently. It consists of 184 nucleotides that fold into an extended hairpin structure with a large single-stranded internal bulge. The 6S RNA specifically associates with RNA polymerase holoenzyme containing the sigma70 specificity factor. The record is from Rfam. Lineage: Bacteria; Pseudomonadati; Acidobacteriota; Terriglobia; Terriglobales; Acidobacteriaceae.
ACCGGCCUGCAAAGCAGGUACACGAACAACGCAGGUUGAACCAAUAAUCAUUGAACAGGGGUCCAGCUCGUAUACAUGGCUCGGUGUGCUAGGUCCGCCAGUCCGGAAAGCCUAAAGAGCCACGGCCGGGUCCCACCGUCUUAGACGGGUUCACCUGCGCUUCGAUGUACGGCCCCGUGGGUCGGUC